Mytilus californianus (California mussel) is the source of this 1451-nucleotide long non-coding RNA. RefSeq lists it as uncharacterized. Lineage: Eukaryota; Metazoa; Mollusca; Bivalvia; Mytilida; Mytilidae. The record is from RefSeq and is a predicted model, not a curated record. The transcript is spliced from 4 exons.
AUCAUGGCACAUGUUGAAAGUUGGAAAAAGCUUACAUUUUUAAACAAAUGUCUUUUCGUCGUAACAAUUGUUGCAACAUUUUCUCAUAUUCUCGGAUUUGCCACACCUUUCUGGCUGACUAUCAGUGUACCUGAAUAUUAUGCUGCCAAGGUUUACUAUAAACCAAGCAAAUUGCAAAUUGAUUUGCUUGAAGCAAAUCAUUACCUGGGGCUCUGGCAAUGGUGCUUCGGAGGUAAUGGUUGUAUUGAUUUAGGAUUAAUUGCUAAAUUCGGAUCCGAGAAAAAAUACCAGUAUCAAUGGGAGAAAGAUUCAUAUAAAAAAGUAAAGAAGAUUUUUGCUUACUGGAUAGCAACACGGGUAUUUGCAGCUGUAGGGUUUAUUAGUGGUGCUUUGGUAACAAUUAUGCUGCUCUGGUUUAUAUGUAGAGAAACAGGAACCAGUCUAUGUCAAGGUUUCACUGUAAUCGGAUGCUUUGUGACUGGACACUAGAAGAACAAAACCGAAGAAAACAUUUUAUUCAAACUAAUAAACUAAUCCUUGUAAAUCAGAAAAGAUAUAUAUGAGGAGGAUUUCUUAUGAUAUCCGUGGCUGUGUUUGGUUUUGGAAUUUACAAUGAUUCAGACAUGUUCCAGAUAAACCGCUUCAAUAUCACUCAUCGUCUUAGCUUUUCUUUUGGGAUGAUGUGUAUUGCAGCCAUAUUGUACACAGUUAUUGGAACCGUUCUUACAUUUAUGUUAUGUACUGGAGGUUACGAACGUGGAGGAAGACACAGAAGAGCAGCAACGAAUGAAGAUGCUUAAAGACUUGCUUGGUUUUUUUUAUGGUAUCUUGAUAUGAGAAUUGAAGUUGAAAUCAUCCCUUCGUAAAUUUUACGGACGCCAUUACGAGUUGGUUGACCGUUAGGGAAUAACCGUUUCACAGAUGAUAUCGGAAAUGUUCCUUAUGUCGUAACUAAAAUACCCUUCCCUUUUCACGAAUGUGACCUACCGAAUUAGACUAUUUACCGGAUUUGUAAUAACAUAAGCAACGCGACGGGUGCCACAUGUGGAGCAGGAUCUGCUUACCCUUCUGGAGCACCUGAGAUCACCCCUAGUUUUUGGUGGGGUUCGUGUUGCUUAGUCUUUAGUUUUCUAUGUUAUGUCAUCUGUACUAUUAUUUGUCUGUUUGUCUUUUUAUUUUUGGCCAUAGCGGUGUCAGUUUGUUUUCGAUCUAUGAGUUUGACUGUCCCUCUGGUAUCUUUCGUCCCUCUUUUUGAAGAUUACCAUAGGAAAAUUCUAAUAACAGAAGAUAUGAAUGAACAGGUCAUGCUUAGUUCUAAGGCAUUUUGCAGAUUGUGAAACGUAUCUCAUUUUAGAGUAGAAAGAACCCAUUUCAAUGUUACAAGACUUCAUUUCUUUAAAACCUAUAUCGAUUUUUUAAUGAGUUUUGCUUAAAUAAAUUAAGAUAUUGUA